RNAcentral lists this ribosomal RNA (521 nucleotides) under Salmonella enterica. RNAcentral describes it as "bacterial SSU rRNA". It matches the Rfam family "Bacterial small subunit ribosomal RNA", at positions 1001 to 1522 of the family's 1533-position model. The record is from RNAcentral. RNAcentral also lists the same sequence under 3 other names. Lineage: Bacteria; Pseudomonadati; Pseudomonadota; Gammaproteobacteria; Enterobacterales; Enterobacteriaceae.
CAGAGAUGGAUUGGUGCCUUCGGGAACUGUGAGACAGGUGCUGCAUGGCUGUCGUCAGCUCGUGUUGUGAAAUGUUGGGUUAAGUCCCGCAACGAGCGCAACCCUUAUCCUUUGUUGCCAGCGAUUAGGUCGGGAACUCAAAGGAGACUGCCAGUGAUAAACUGGAGGAAGGUGGGGAUGACGUCAAGUCAUCAUGGCCCUUACGACCAGGGCUACACACGUGCUACAAUGGCGCAUACAAAGAGAAGCGACCUCGCGAGAGCAAGCGGACCUCAUAAAGUGCGUCGUAGUCCGGAUUGGAGUCUGCAACUCGACUCCAUGAAGUCGGAAUCGCUAGUAAUCGUGGAUCAGAAUGCCACGGUGAAUACGUUCCCGGGCCUUGUACACACCGCCCGUCACACCAUGGGAGUGGGUUGCAAAAGAAGUAGGUAGCUUAACCUUCGGGAGGGCGCUUACCACUUUGUGAUUCAUGACUGGGGUGAAGUCGUAACAAGGUAACCGUAGGGGAACCUGCGGUUGGA